RNAcentral lists this ribosomal RNA (253 nucleotides) under uncultured bacterium. RNAcentral describes it as "partial 16S ribosomal RNA". It matches the Rfam family "Bacterial small subunit ribosomal RNA", at positions 524 to 776 of the family's 1533-position model. The record is from RNAcentral.
UACAGAGGGUGCAAGCGUUAAUCGGAAUUACUGGGCGUAAAGCGUGCGUAGUCGGUUAUUUAAGUCGGAUGUGAAAUCCCCGGGCUCAACCUGGGAAUUGCAUUCGAUACUGGAUAGCUAGAGUUCGGCAGAGGGAAGCGGAAUUUCUGGUGUAGCGGUGAAAUGCGUAGAUAUCAGAAGGAACAUCAGUGGCGAAAGCGGCUUCCUGGACCAGAACUGACGAUCAGGCAUGAAAGCGUGGGGAGCAAACAGG